GGGCCAGUAGCUCAUCUGGUAGAGCGCCUCGUUUGCACCGAGGAGGUAGGGGGUUCAAGUCCUCUCUGGUCCA
RNAcentral lists this transfer RNA (73 nucleotides) under Patescibacteria group bacterium. RNAcentral's name for it is "tRNA-Ala". It matches the Rfam family "tRNA". Rfam says of the family: Transfer RNA (tRNA) molecules are approximately 80 nucleotides in length. Their secondary structure includes four short double-helical elements and three loops (D, anti-codon, and T loops). The record is from RNAcentral.